GCGACUGCGGAGGACAUUAUCGAGUUUAUUGAAACAGGUUGUCGCUGGCCUUUUUUAUUAAUACAAAAAGGCAUGUGCACGCUUGGCUCAUCCAUUCUCAACCUCUGUGCACUUUUUGUAGAAAUGGUCAGACGGCUGGCGCAAGUCAGUCAGAAAACCUUUCUAUGUUUUUAUUACAAACGCUUCAGUUAUAGAAUGUUGACUUGCACAAAUAAUGCAUUUAUAUACAACUUUCAGCAACGGAUCUCUUGGCUCUCGCAUCGAUGAAGAACGCAGCGAAAUGCGAUAAGUAAUGUGAAUUGCAGAAUUCAGUGAAUCAUCGAAUCUUUGAACGCACCUUGCGCUCCUUGGUAUUCCGAGGAGCAUGCCUGUUUGAGUAUCAUGGAAUUCUCAACUCCUCAAUUUUUUUUAAUUAAAAAAUGAGUGAGCUUGGAUUUGGAGGCUGUGUUGGCUUUUGUAAUAAUAAAAAUCAACUCCUCUGAAAUAGAUUAGCGUGAAUCUUACGGAUCGCCUUCAGUGUGAUAAUUGUCUACGCUGUGGCUGUGAAGUGAUUUAUAUGUUCAUGCUUACAAUCGUCUCUUUAAGAGACAAUUAAAUUUUAUGACUUCUGAUCUCAAAUCAGGUAGGACUACCCGCUGAACUUAAGCAUAUCAUAGCCGGGAAAGGAAAGCAGU
The sequence is a ribosomal RNA, 674 nucleotides long. The stretch from base 229 to 382 matches the Rfam family "5.8S ribosomal RNA".